CGAAGCAGGUCUUCUUUUGCUCUCUCCUUCUCCUUUAGCGGGGGUGGGCAAGAGGGAGCCGCGUACGAUCCCAACUACGGCGGUGACGGAGCGGGGUAGCCGGGUACCGGUCCAGGAGGCUGCAGCCGGUGGCCUCUUCCUUCGUUUGAGCUGUAGGUUAGCAGGUCUGGAAGAGAGCUAGGUCCGUUCAGCGGAGGAAGGAAGGGGAAGGGAGUGGGGGGCUGGGGAGAGACGGCGGAGCACAGGAUGGGGAAAGAGAAGAGUUAGACUUAGGUACCUCUAUCGGCCGUCCCUCCUGCUCAUACACAACCUCCCGCGACGGCCGCCGCGGUUUUCAUCGAGUUGUUCUUGGUAGCAGUGCGCCUCCGUUCUGUGAUAGCUGUGCCUAGGCGAAGCAGACGCGGCCGUUCCCGGUUGGCAAGGUCUAGGCUGGUCCCGGUCAACGACGAACAAUAUUUGGUCUCGUAACUACAGACGAAGGUCGACGACCCGGUACCCGAGGAGGUAGACGAGGCGUUCGAGUACUAGGCGCUCAAGGAAGACUUCGACGCACUCUCUUUGUCUUUACAUUGUAAGUGUUACGUCACUAACAAGGACCAAGAUCUUUUAUAACGUUCCUUAAAAACGAUGCAUACUUGGUUCUUUACGCCGUAAAUCUAUAUAAAACAUACGAGGGGUGGACCCAACUUGCCUACGUAGGUGGACAACAAUACGUGGGAUCGGACCUGAAGAGUUCCCACUUGUAUGACUACCUACCUUUGGUUGGAUUACUAACUACCACAAUAGUAGUCCUCCGUCACCUGAUCGCCACCGCACUAAGUUUUGAUAACGACUAAGACGUAAACUCCUAAAGUACUUCGGUUCGCUAGGAGAACACGAGACUCCUCGAGACUACAUAUGUCCGUAGACCAUACUAGCGUACGGAAUUAAGUAUGUAUCCUCAAUCAUAACAUUGAUAAUUCAUCGAGUUAUUAGACAACCGUUAUUUUAUUCAACCAUAUAUGCUACCUCUUCAUGACUUAGAGAAUUUCGUAUUUCGGUAUUUUUAGUCGUACGUGACGGGUUCGUGUUUCAUUUUUACAAGAUUAAAGUUUUCUAAUUAAAUCAAAACUAUCCCCACGCAUCCAUAUUUGUUACUUGGUAGAAGAGGUUUUUUUUUUUGGACCUAGUAAGACGUAGGUCAUAUAACUGUAUAAUCAACGAGAGAACAAAGACUUGUAAAAACUUGGUCGACUCUUCAUGAGUUUUAGAAUUUCGUAUUUCAGUACUUGUAGGAUCCGUGUCUUAUUAGUGCGUCACUUCCAUGAAAUAAUGUUUGGUACAUACUAUACUGUGGUUGUGGUUUAGGAACUUCGUCGGCAGGGUACAUCUCUUCACUACUCAGUACACCUAAUUUGUAGCUAAUCGUUCGUACUUCGAGCAUAGCAGCGCUCUUCUCUUUACCGUCUUUUAUUCGAACCCUUUGUACACCCACGUAGUACGGUACGUAAGCACUUCCUCUACCGCUCGGUUGGCUACUACAAGACUUAGCGGUGGUAGCAAUUGCUGACUUUUAAGUCAUCCGUACAGGUAUCAUAUUUUCUAAUUUUGAAAUCACAUCAGUUCUUAAUUAAACAACGUUGAACGUUCGUAUACUGUACUUGUUUUAUUACUUGGAAAAGUCUUUUUCAGAAGUGGAUGUGUAACAGACGUUGUGGUUAAAGAGAAGAGACUAAUAGCAUAGUUUACGGUGUGCGUUGAUUAAUUUAUUGAGUACUCUAAACUCUGAUUAUGUUCGAGUUGAGAAUUAAAAGUAAGCCUCCCUCCCUCCCCAGUUCUAAAAGAGUGGGGAAAGACCGGUUACACGAGCCGGUAGACCGGCGACCGCUACCGGGGUUGGUACCGCGACUGAACCUGUCGCUCGGCUUGCGGUUCUUGACUGCACGUCCGUGCUUCAAUGAGUUGUAGAAAUUAGGUUCUUCUUCAGCUUUGUCUCGUUCGUAUAUCCGAGGUCCGUGAUGGAAGAGUAUCAAAAGUUAAAAAAAUAUUUAAUGAAAGUCAAGUUAGACGAAGAGUACUAAAGGCGUUAGAAGUUUAAGUUGAACACAAUCUCCGAAGUCAAGAAUGUCGUAUACUAUGAACGAACUAGUAGUACAUGUAACAUAUUUGUAUUUCACUACGUGACUUACGUGAUACGAGAACAGGUAACAAUAACACAAAUAAAGGAUAGUCAAUUCUAUUUAUAUAUUGAGAGUUUCAAAAUUGAUACCCACAAUCUCCUCUAUCUAGCCCGUCUUGAUGUUGGACUCCAACACGUCCAAAUGCCUAUGCAGAACGGUUCCAAUAUAAUAAAAUCCAAAACCGCUUAUUUUUUUUAUAUAUCAUCCAUUUAUUUCGAGUCAAGCGGUGAGUUUAUUAAUACUUAUGGUUACGUCAUUUCCAUACUACAUGCGAAAGUUUAUUGUAAAAUAUCAAGAAACCAUUGUAGUGACUUUUGAUAACUUAACACAAGAGAUUAAAUAAUAUCAAUCGAAAGAAAGUAUAAUCCACAAUUAUCUUUUGUAUGGGUACGUAAUUACCUAAGUGUAAACUUCCCUUUGACGACUUUUACUUUCCGCUGUAUAAACUAUCAAAAAAGAGAGUAAUAAGUGUUAGGGUUGAUCCAAACCUUCUGUUUUAGACCUCGGAAUGAAACUUACAGGUUCCUCCACCUUCGUGGUUGUUACGGGAGUUGUCUCGACGAGCUAGUUAACCUAGACUUAGGUUCCUACUGUAGGUUGUUUUCCAUGGGUUAAAGGAAAAUAACGAAAUUGGUAUGAUCUCAUCGACAUAUACCACGUGAACCGUCCCUAUAAUAGUUCCUUAAGGUUCUACUACCGACGUAAAACGUGACUUUAACCCUCCACUCCGAGUUUUUCUAUGUCGCCAAUGGCCGCCGCCGCUGUCGCUUCUGAUCGGGCCCUAGACCCUGUCACCUACGUAACUCGUGCUCCACUUCUAUUCGGUGAGGUAGGUACCAAUGAUAAAACAAGUAAGAAAAAAACCUCUACUAAAGUCAUGAGAUAGUUACACUACAAUCUCGGUUCUACGUACACAGUGAACAAAGUAGUUCACACAUUACUUGAAAUUUAAAACAAAGUAGUUCACCAAAGAGC
This 3134-nucleotide ribosomal RNA is filed under the name Triticum aestivum (bread wheat). RNAcentral describes it as "partial small subunit ribosomal RNA". Lineage: Eukaryota; Viridiplantae; Streptophyta; Magnoliopsida; Poales; Poaceae. The record is from RNAcentral.